AGGGAUGGCCUUUUGGCUAAGAUCAAGUGUAGUAUCUGUUCUUAUCAGUUUAAUAUCUGAUAUGUGGGCCAUAGGCUCACAUGAUAUUAAAUUAAUUUCUUGUGGGGUAGGGGCCACCACAGUCGCUUGCUACUGGGUCCCUCAGGUGUUGCCCUUGUUUUGCACUAUAGCAUGGGCCUGGCGCACCCCUU
Molecule: small nuclear RNA, 191 nt
Organism: Magnolia sinica
Lineage: Eukaryota; Viridiplantae; Streptophyta; Magnoliopsida; Magnoliales; Magnoliaceae
Product: U2 spliceosomal RNA
Exons: 1
Source: RefSeq, a predicted model, not a curated record